This 253-nucleotide ribosomal RNA is filed under the name uncultured bacterium. RNAcentral describes it as "partial 16S ribosomal RNA". It matches the Rfam family "Bacterial small subunit ribosomal RNA", at positions 524 to 776 of the family's 1533-position model. The record is from RNAcentral.
UACGUAGGGGGCAAGCGUUGUCCGGAAUUACUGGGCGUAAAGGGCUCGUAGGUGGCCAACUAAGUCAGACGUGAAAUCCCUCGGCUUAACCGGGGAACUGCGUCUGAUACUGGAUGGCUUGAGUUUGGGAGAGGGACGCGGAAUUCCAGGUGUAGCGGUGAAAUGCGUAGAUAUCUGGAGGAACACCGGUGGCGAAGGCGGCGUCCUGGACCAACACUGACACUGAGGAGCGAAAGCCAGGGGAGCAAACGGG